RNAcentral lists this ribosomal RNA (1497 nucleotides) under Duthiersia expansa. RNAcentral's name for it is "eukaryotic LSU rRNA". It matches the Rfam family "Eukaryotic large subunit ribosomal RNA", at positions 44 to 961 of the family's 3401-position model. The record is from RNAcentral. Lineage: Eukaryota; Metazoa; Platyhelminthes; Cestoda; Diphyllobothriidea; Diphyllobothriidae.
CACUAAGCGGAGGAAAAGAAACUAACCAGGAUUCCCCUAGUAACGGCGAGUGAAGAGGGAAUAGCCCAGCACCGAAGCCUGCGGUAGUUUUACCGUUAGGCAAUGUGGUGUUUGGGUCGGCUCGCGGGACUGCCGCUCCACUCGAAGUCCAGCACUGAGUAUGGUUCCCUGGAUUUGGCCCAGAGAGGGUGAAAGGCCCGUACGAGUGGAGGUUCAGACAUGAGAGGCAGUUCACCAGGCCGACCUUCGAGUCGGGUUGUUUGGGAAUGCAGCCCAAAGUGGGUGGUAAACUCCAUCCAAGGCUAAAUACUGGCACGAGUCCGAUAGCGAACAAGUACCGUGAGGGAAAGUUGAAAAGUACUUUGAAGAGAGAGUAAACAGUACGUGAAACCGCAUAGAGGUAAACGGGUGGCGUCAAGCUGCAAGCCUGGAGGAUUCAGUUGGUCAGUGUGUGUGCGCGCCUGGCGCGUCCGUCUGGCAGGCAGUCCGCUGAGAAAAGGCGGGUCCGUCCCUCUGUUGGGGGAAGGGAUUUGCGUUCCGGGAGGUAGCCGGAGCAAGCUGUCUUGCUUGACUGGGUGGGCUGGCCAAUGCACUUCCUCUGUUUGGUGAGCACCACGACUGGUGGUACUGCCGGUCUGCUGUAGCCAAGUCAGGUGCGGUUGGCGUUUCGGCGUUAGUCGUGCUUUGAUCACAGGCGAACUCAGUGAACGGCGUGUGUGGGCCUCGGUUUGCACACGUGUUAUCGGGCACUGGUCGUCAACGGGUCGGCCUGUCAGUUUGCUUGAGUGUGUGUGCAGUCGCUGACAGGUGUCCUGGUGGGCUAUGGUGGUAAGAAUAACUGUGCAGGGCACCAGAGUUGUCGGCCUCGUGUUACCGGCUCACCGCACACUGCACGUGUGUGGGGUUGUUGUUGCAGCCUGCCGAUGGCUGGGUCUGAUUGUCGUGUUGCCUACGCAAAGUGGGCCCGAUGGUGGCUCGGUAUCGGGUGGUGCUGUUGGCAGUGACCUGUGUGAGCCGGCGUGGGCCGGAUAGUCUGUGGUGUUGUGGUAGACGAGCUACCCGACCCGUCUUGAAACACGGACCAAGGAGUUUAUCAUGCACGCGAGUCAGUGGGUCAAUCGAAACCCAAUGGCGCAGUGAAAGUGAAGGCCCGACUUGUUCUCGGGUUGUGGUGAGAUGCUGCUGUUUCUCGCAUCGUGCAUCUUGGUGCAGUUUGUCAGUACCAGGCAGAAGAGCAGUGGCCGCAUCACCGGCCCGUCCCAUGAUGUGGUCGUUGGCGAGGAGUAGUGGGCUUGCCUUCUCUCUGAGCCGGCGCGUCAUCGGGGCGGAGCAAGAGCGUGCACGAUAAGACCCGAAAGAUGGUGAACUAUGCUUGCGUAGGUUGAAGCCAGAGGAAACUCUGGUGGAGGACCGCAGCGAUUCUGACGUGCAAAUCGAUCGUCAAACGUGAGUAUAGGGGCGAAAGACUAAUCGAACCAUCUAGUAGCUGGUUCCCUC